RNAcentral lists this small RNA (154 nucleotides) under uncultured Buttiauxella sp. Its description in RNAcentral is "Enterobacterial sRNA STnc430". It matches the Rfam family "Enterobacterial sRNA STnc430". Lineage: Bacteria; Pseudomonadati; Pseudomonadota; Gammaproteobacteria; Enterobacterales; Enterobacteriaceae. The record is from RNAcentral.
CAAAUAACGAUCUAAUUAAUCCGAAAACAACCCUCCUUAACUAUCAGGUGAAAGGUAUUUUUAGGAUUAACCUCAAUGCAAGAAAUAUCCAGUGCAAGGCGACAAGCAGAUUAGUCUUAUAAAUAAGCCGGCACCCGGUCCGGCUUAUUUAAUU